Acinonyx jubatus (cheetah) is the source of this 2956-nucleotide long non-coding RNA. RefSeq lists it as uncharacterized. Lineage: Eukaryota; Metazoa; Chordata; Mammalia; Carnivora; Felidae. The record is from RefSeq and is a predicted model, not a curated record. The transcript has 3 exons.
UCAGACACAUUCAGCCUGGGUGCUGAAGAUCACUGUGCAGGGUGAGAAAGAAGUCAAAAAUUUGCCCAGAAAAACUCAGAAAUCACAGCAAACAGAGGGCUUGAUUCUCAGAAGUAUGAAGGAAGGGAAUAUACAGAAGAAAAUGUCUCUCUGCAUAUCAUAAAAAUAGCAAAAUUUCCAGCAUAUGCUGCUAUUUAACUUUUUUAUUCUGGCAGACCGUUUGUGACUAGUGAUGGGUGGGGCUGUUCUUGCAUGUAUGUUUCAGCCAAGUAUGAUGAAUGCUCAGAAUAUUUUUCCUGACCUUACAUGAAUUUACUUUUGGUUUUUUUCUCUCUCAUGCGCCUUCUCCUGGUGUUUUCUAUCAGAUGGGGUUCCCAGGCAGCUCCAUAUAGGAUCAUAUCAGAGAUAUAUGGAGUAAUUCCAUUUAGAUAUAAAAUUGACCCAUUUCUGAAACGUGUUCCCUUAUUUCCUUCAUUUAUUUUGGCAUACGCGAGACAGCAAGCAAAUAAGAACAUUAUUUUUUAAGGAAUUUUCAAAACUGGAGUUCCUGCAAAAAGGAAAUGAACUAUGCUUCAAAAACUCCCAUGACCUACAUCCAAACUGUCUUCCAGAAAGUUUACAACGUGUUGUGCCAAUAGCCAUUCGUCUUCCCGUGCAGACUCGCCUAAUGGAAAAGAUAUGCUGACCUAUGAAAGUGACUCUCCAGUUAAUGACAUGACCUGAGCUGUCUUGGAAAUUCAUCUUCUGCUGUAUAUACAUCAUUUUGUUCUGAGUUUGAUUCGUGUGACUCCUUCUGGCGAAACAACAAGAUCUGCUUUUUGGAAGCGCCACGCUAAAAGCCAGACUUCAGAUAGAGAUGAGUCCAUUAAGGCACCAUCCCUUUGCUGCCUUCUGCCUGAGUGACAAGAAGCCUACAGCAAGUCACAGUCAUAUCCUCUAGGAAGCUACUCAGGACAUGACACCUGUUGAGCUCGCAUGAGAAAGCUCUGACAGAGAGGAAAACGUUAGUUGAUCCGUGAGUGCACAACCCCACCCCCUCAGGUCAGCAGUUGUGGACCAUGAGAGUUUUAGGCUGCACGAUCACUUUGAACCUGAAAAUCAGACAGACCUACAGAAUGACAUGUAGCCAAAGUGCUUUUCGGUUAGCAUUAGGUAGUCGCUACUCGAAGAAAUGCUUAUUCCAGAGAAGAUGUGGCAUCCACAAAAACGUACAGUGCUUUUUGUUCUAUUCAUAGUGGUUAAAUAAUUUAUUUUGUUGUAUUGGUUACAUUCCCCGAGUGGCAAUAAUUUGACAUGCAUGGCAGUUAAAUAUCUGCCAAGCACCCCACGGGUUGCAGGGAGUCUGACAAAAGGUCACCGAGUCCGCUGGAGGUUUGCGGGAAUAGUGAGGCAGGGCCUCUGCUGAAACUUUUGCUGGAAACCCCCACUGGGCUGAUAUGUGUUCUAUGGCCUUAUUAGUUUAAAAUUUAAUAAUUUUUCAGCACUUAUUGCAUCUACUACAAGCUCCCAAUGAAAAAGGGAAAAAAAAAGCGAAGACCUUUUCUCUUGCUUUAAAGUGUAAUACUUUUACAAAAUGCUAUUGUUUGAAACCAAAUGCCAGGACAAUGAUGCUGGGGCUGGGUGACAGCUGCUGGCGGAACUCCAGGGAAAGGGCGGAAUGGCAACCUGGCUUCCCCUUCCCAGAGCCCAGGCCCAUUUAUGAGUAAUGAGAAUCGGCUCCGGGGGCCGACGAUGCUGUCAUGAUCCAGAGAGCCAGGGUGCUGUGCUCAUCACAUGUACGGAAAGACCCGACAUUCUUUCGAACCCUUGAAGAUAAACAAUGGGUCCUCAGUUGAACGUUUUGUCUUCUCUGGCUAAAUAUCCAUAAUUCAUUCAUCAUUCCUCUUAAAUGAUGGUUUAGAUUCCAUUAUGAGCUCCAUAAGAGUCACCUGGAGGACCCUUUAAACUAGCCGGAACUUCUGUAGGUUUUAACCCUCAAACAUAACUGACAACUUUUAAGCUAUCUUGGGCCUGGCCAGAAUCAUAUAAGAAUUGCUAAGGAUUCUCACACCAAGGGUAGACCCCCAGACCCAGAAUACAUGGGAUCUUAACCUCAGCAGCUGAAGGGAGGGGACUGUAUCACUUAGGCCCACCCAUCAAAGUGUCGGCUGACCACUUUUCUCUGUUGGCUCCAGAAGGUCCUCUGAAAGGGAUGCAUGUGCUUGUGUGACCCGGACUUCGAAAAACACAGUCAACAUUCACCUUAAACUUGUCAUACUAGGGACAGAACAAAGACUUAAGUGCAUUUUUUUGAAAACUGUCAAAAUACAGGAGUUAAACUUAAGAGGAUAAUAAAACCAAGAAAGGAGUAAUAAAACUGCCAACUCCUCCUUUUUCUCCAAGCUCUAUUUAGGCAAAAUUCUAUUUGUUCUCUUACGGAAAGAGAAGGCCGUCCGAUUUAAGGGCCCAAGCAAACAAGAAACAGGACAUGUUAAUUGAAGGAAUUAUUGUAAAUCAAAGUCUGAGUGCGAAAUUACAUGCUUCAUAAUUUUACACUUAAGUGAAGUGCAUUUCUGUCCAUGCUUGUAAAGACAAAGAAUUUUCCUCGUGUCUGACAUAUCAAAUACCAAUAACCUUGCCACAUAGCAGCCAGAGUGUAAAGUUGGAUGAUUCUGAAAGCUUUUUUAUUGUAGUGAACGUGAGGAUGUGCAAAAUGCAUCGUCACUCCAUUAUGCGGGCAUCUAGGUGUUUGAUCAUUCAUCAACACCCCUGAAAGUGUGACUGAAGGCAAUAGAGUACAUAAAAGAAAUGCUGUAGUUCUAAAAAAGUUUAAAUAUAUAGAGGGGCACCUGGGUGGCUCAGUCAGCUGAGCAUCCGACUUCGGCUCAGGUCGUGAUCUCGCAGUCUGUGAGUUCGAGCCCCAAGUCAGGCUCUGUGCUGACAGCAGAGCCUGGAGCCUGCUUCGGAUUCUGUGUCU